RNAcentral lists this unclassified non-coding RNA (666 nucleotides) under Micractinium sp. KNUA029. Its description in RNAcentral is "sequence contains 5.8S rRNA gene, ITS2". The stretch from base 256 to 409 matches the Rfam family "5.8S ribosomal RNA". Lineage: Eukaryota; Viridiplantae; Chlorophyta; Trebouxiophyceae; Chlorellales; Chlorellaceae. The record is from RNAcentral.
GCGGAAGGAUCAUUGAAUCGAUCGAAUCCACUUUGGUAACCAACCGUCCCCUCGCCCUGGUGCGAGCGUCGGUCCCCUGGCUGGGGUCUUCUGACCGCAGUUCAGGUCCGGCGGGCCUUGCUCCCACGGGUGUCCCUUCGGGGCCCCAUGGGUUGCAGGGUCGGUAAUUUAUAUUCAACUCAACCCACCCCAAACCUAAAUCAUAACUAAAGCUAAUUAGUGUGUGCAUCUCGGUGCCUCACUCUAACCAAAGACAACUCUCAACAACGGAUAUCUUGGCUCCCGUAUCGAUGAAGAACGCAGCGAAAUGCGAUACGUAGUGUGAAUUGCAGAAUUCCGUGAACCAUCGAAUCUUUGAACGCAAAUUGCGCCCGAGGCUUCGGCCGAGGGCAUGUCUGCCUCAGCGUCGGCUUACACCCUCGCUCUCCCUCUCCUUUGGAGUGGAUAGAGCGGAUCUGACCUUCCCGGCUCCUCUUCGAUUCGUCGUUGAGUCCGGGUCGGUUGAAGUGUAGAGGCUUGAGCAUGGACCCCGUUUGUAGGGCAAUGACUUGGUAGGUAGCAUCGCUACACAGCCUGUCGUUGUCCGAGGGGACUUUGCUGGCGGCCUAGCAGGAAUUCUGGGUGGUCCUGCCACCCAGAAUGUCUCACAAAUUCGACCUGAGCUCA